CACGCGACCAUAAUAUACAUACCACCGCUCAUAUCCCAGCCCAGCCCCGCGAUCCUUAUAGGAAACAGCGGGAUCCAGAGAGAAAACCAGAUGCGACCAGCCAGAGGAGAGACAGCACGGCAGAGAGGUCACAGCAGAGCAGGUGGAACAGAACGGAGGGCACGCCAUCGGAUUGUGGUUUCCACACAGUGUACGCAACGCUCUCAAUCCUGAAGCUGGGUCGUGGUUAAGCCACACCCAGGCAACGCAAGUACACUUUUGAAAUAGUUAACAUACUACUAAAAAUUAUGCUGGCUGUGAAGGCUCUUCCCACUGCUGAGACUCUUUCUCUUUCUUUCCACAUCGGAGGCAUCGGCCAGUGCCAGUGAAGUAAGGAGGAGGAACCGACUGCUGGAAGGGACGGUAAUCGGGCUGGAGCAGAAGCAGCAACAGAAGUAGCAGAAGGUGUGUGUCUGGCUGUGGCAGUCCACCCAUCAGGUCCUGAAGGAGACCAGGGAGUCUACAGGGGAAGCCUAAAUCCCGCCAGGAGGAGGAGGAGGAAGAGGAGGAGGAGGAGCAGGC
Long non-coding RNA from Engraulis encrasicolus (European anchovy), 561 nucleotides. RefSeq lists it as uncharacterized. The record is from RefSeq and is a predicted model, not a curated record. The transcript has 4 exons. NCBI's taxonomy places the organism in Eukaryota, Metazoa, Chordata, Actinopteri, Clupeiformes, Engraulidae.